AUUGAACGCUGGCGGCAGGCCUAACACAUGCAAGUCGAGCGGAUGAAGGGAGCUUGCUCCUGGAUUCAGCGGCGGACGGGUGAGUAAUGCCUAGGAAUCUGCCCGGUAGUGGGGGAUAACGUCCGGAAGCGGGCGCUAAUACCGCAUACGUCCUGAGGGAGAAAGUGGGGGAUCUUCGGACCUCACGCUAUCAGAUGAGCCUAGGUCGGAUUAGCUAGUUGGUGGGGUAAAGGCCUACCAAGGCGACGAUCCGUAACUGGUCUGAGAGGAUGAUCAGUCACACUGGAACUGAGACACGGUCCAGACUCCUACGGGAGGCAGCAGUGGGGAAUAUUGGACAAUGGGCGAAAGCCUGAUCCAGCCAUGCCGCGUGUGUGAAGAAGGUCUUCGGAUUGUAAAGCACUUUAAGUUGGGAGGAAGGGCAGUAAGUUAAUACCUUGCUGUUUUGACGUUACCAACAGAAUAAGCACCGGCUAACUUCGUG
RNAcentral lists this ribosomal RNA (484 nucleotides) under uncultured bacterium. Its description in RNAcentral is "partial 16S ribosomal RNA". It matches the Rfam family "Bacterial small subunit ribosomal RNA", at positions 30 to 507 of the family's 1533-position model. The record is from RNAcentral.